Molecule: ribosomal RNA, 393 nt
Filed under: uncultured bacterium
Lineage: Bacteria
Description: partial 16S ribosomal RNA
Rfam family: Bacterial small subunit ribosomal RNA
Source: RNAcentral
AUACGGAGGAUCCGAGCGUUAUCCGGAUUUAUUGGGUUUAAAGGGUGCGCAGGCGGGAGAUUAAGUCGGCGGUGAAAUUUUGCAGCUCAACUGUAAAAGUGCCUUCGAAACUGGUUUCCUUGAGUGUAGAUGAAGUAGGCGGAAUUUGUGGUGUAGCGGUGAAAUGCAUAGAUAUCACGAGGAACUCCGAUUGCGCAGGCAGCUUACUAAACUACUACUGACGCUCAGGCACGAAGGCGUGGGGAUCAAACAGGAUUAGAUACCCUGGUAGUCCACGCAGUAAACGAUGAUUACUAGCUGUUUGCGAUACAAUGUAAGCGGCUGAGCGAAAGCGUUAAGUAAUCCACCUGGGGAGUACGUUCGCAAGAAUGAAACUCAAAUGAAUUGGCGGGG